CUCAACUUGGGUGCUGCAUUCCAAACUGGAUAUCUAGAGUGCAGGAGAGGAAAGUGGAAUUCCUAGUGUAGCAGUGAAAUGCGUAGAUAUUAGGAGGAACACCAGUGGCGAAGGCGACUUUCUGGACUGUAACUGACACUGAGGCAUGAAAGCGUGGGGAGCAAACAGGAUUAGAUACCCUGGUAGUCCACGCCGUAAACGAUGGGUACUAGGUGUGGGAGUUGUCAUGACUUCCGUGCCGUCGUUAACACAGUAAGUACCCCGCCUGGGGAGUACGAUCGCAAGAUUAAAACUCAAAGGAAUUGGCGGGGGCCCGCACAAGCAGCGGAGCAUGUGGUUUAAUUCGAAGCAACGCGAAGAACCUUACCUAGACUUGACAUCUCCUGAAUUACCCGUAAUGGGGGAAGCUCUUCGGAGCAG
Molecule: ribosomal RNA, 420 nt
Filed under: uncultured bacterium
Lineage: Bacteria
Description: bacterial SSU rRNA
Rfam family: Bacterial small subunit ribosomal RNA
Source: RNAcentral